This 1644-nucleotide long non-coding RNA is filed under the name Anser cygnoides (Swan goose). RNAcentral describes it as "lncRNA (ENSACDG00005017399.1)". The record is from RNAcentral. Lineage: Eukaryota; Metazoa; Chordata; Aves; Anseriformes; Anatidae.
GGCACAGUGCUGCCAUUCAUCUGGGCAAACAUUUCUCCUCCUGUAACCUCAAGGAUCGACUUGGCUUUUUUUCCAACAGCCAAAUCAGGAUGCACGGAGAGUGUACGGAUACUUAUCCUAUAGAGGGGACUUCAGAAGUUGACAGAGAAAUAUUAAAUGGCUCACGGCAAAAAUCAGCCUGUGGAAACAUGACUUCAGGGACAGAGGCCUUACAUCUCAAUAUGACAGAAAGGCUGGAGAAGGUGGAAAAAGACCUUAGACUAAUGGAGAGAAAGUGUACAGCUUGGUGUGACGAUUUUGAGUCUCGACUACGACUUCUGGAGAACUGCAACAGAGCAUUUCCUGGAAGGGUCACCCAAAAAGAGCCUGAGGACAAAGAAGAAAAUCGGAAGAUGAAAGAGAAGAUCAAACAACUAAAGGCACGAAACCACGAGCUCUUGUCUAAAUUGAUGAGCAUGCACAAGCAAUCAGAGAACAUGAAUGACCCUUCACGCUUGUCUGCUGUGCUGCAUUUGUAUGAGAUGGUUAGGCUACAUGACUGGGAAAAAUGCAGGAAAUCCUCAACGAAUAUGACAUAUACAAAUGGCAGAAACAUAAUUAAGAAGCUGUUUGAUGCCUGUGAGGAAUAUAUAGAGAAGAGAAAAAAUGACAUAUUUAACGUCCUUGACAUUUCAUCUUUGAAUUACGCUUACGAAUCUCAGGAAUUUGCCAACUGCAAACAAGAGCUGAUGCCAAUUGUAACGGAACUCUUAAGAAAUGCCUAUUGCCAACGUUACUCAGACUUUAACAAAAUCAUUACUGAGCAAGCCAGUGUUACUCUGGAAAAUGAUGAUCAAAAACAGUUCGCACUGCGGUGCUGCAGAGUUUAUUGUCUGAUGCUUCUUCAGGAGUCACCAGUUAAAGCUGUCUGGCACCCACAGGAAAUCCUUCCUCAACAUGUAGAGCAUGUGGACAAGAAAGCCUUUGAGCACUGGAAGAAAACAGGGCUUCUGUGGCCCGUACUGAAAUCUGGGGAAGAAGUUAUCGUGAAAGGUGUAGUCUGGGAUUUAAAGUAACAUGACUUUUGAGUCAAGAUACACACUUAAAUGGCUAUAAGAAGAUGAAACAGCUGCUGUGCAAUAUGUAGCUUUUCUUUCUCACAUGAACACUCUACUUUCCAUACCUAGUUAAAUGUGCAUGGCUUGGGAUGCUUAGGAUAAACUGCUAUUCACAAGCAACUACUAAAAAUAGAAGAUGUUUGUUUUGGUGGCAUGCAUACAUUUGAUGUAAUUUUUGUUGUCACUGUCUAAACAGCACUUGUUUGAAGAGAGAAUCUGUGUUUGUAGCCUACCUUAUCUGUUCUUCAUAGGUGCUUAUGACCUUGUCAGAUAACACUGGGGCUCUCAGCCACACUGUGGAGGCACCUGCCUCCUCACCAACUGUGGGCUCUUACUCUUAGCAGCUCUGAACUGCACUUUGACAAUGGUAUCACUACCCUCCCGUGUCUACACCCAGUGCACAAACUGCAGGCUCUUGCUUUUUGCUAAUGAAAAAGCAGCGAGGAUAAAGAUGAUCUGCUGGGAAAAAGGUCUCUCUCUAGAGUAAAAAUGUGCUUAGCUGAGAAAGAGGGCAAGGAACUAAAAAAUAAACAAACUAGAGCUCUCA